AUAUCAAUAAGCGGAGGAAAAGAAACCAACAGGGAUUGCCCCAGUAACGGCGAGUGAAGCGGCAACAGCUCAAAUUUGAAAUCUGGCCCUUGGGUCCGAGUUGUAAUUUGGAGAAGGUGCUUCGGGUGCGACGGCGUUCCAAGUCCCCUGGAACUGGGCGUCAUAGAGGGUGAGAGUCCCGUACGGAUCGCGCGUCCAGCCCGUGUGAAGCCCUUUCGACGAGUCGAGUUGUUUGGGAAUGCAGCUCAAAAUGGGUGGUAAAUUUCAUCUAAAGCUAAAUAUCUGCCGGAGACCGAUAGCGCACAAGUAGAGUGAUCGAAAGAUGAAAAGCACUUUGAAAAGAGAGUCAAACAGUACGUGAAAUUGUUGAAAGGGAAGGGCUUGCAGCCAGACUCGUACGCGGGGGCUCCACCGUCCCUCGGGGCGGUUCACUCCCCCGCGAUCGGGCCAGCAUCGGUUUCGGCGGCCGGACAAAGGCCCUGGGAACGUAGCUCUCCCCGGAGAGUGUUAUAGCCCGGGGUGCAAUGCGGCCAGCCGGGACCGAGGACCGCGCUUCGGCUUGGAUGCUGGCGUAAUGGCUGCCACCGCCCGUCUUGAAACACGGACCGAGGAGUCGACCAAUCAUGCGAGUCUGUGGGUGUCAAACCCCCGGGCGCAAUGAAAGUGAACGCAGGUGGGAGCCUUCGGGUGCACCAUCGACCGAUCUUGAUGUCUUCGGAUGGAUUUGAGUACGAGCACGGCUGGUCGGACCCGAAAGAUGGUGAACUAUGCGCGGAUAGGGUGAAGCCAGAGGAAACUCUGGUGGAGGCUCGCAGCGGUUCUGACGUGCAAAUCGAUCGUCAAAUCUACGCAUAGGGGCGAAAGACUAAUCGAAUCAUCUAGUAGCUGGUUCCUGCCGAAGUUUCCCU
This 908-nucleotide ribosomal RNA is filed under the name Glyphis substriatula. RNAcentral's name for it is "LSU rRNA". It matches the Rfam family "Eukaryotic large subunit ribosomal RNA", at positions 40 to 973 of the family's 3401-position model. The record is from RNAcentral. Lineage: Eukaryota; Fungi; Ascomycota; Lecanoromycetes; Ostropales; Graphidaceae.